Cricetulus griseus (Chinese hamster) is the source of this 276-nucleotide unclassified non-coding RNA. Its record names the gene 7SK. It matches the Rfam family "7SK RNA". Rfam says of the family: 7SK was discovered as an abundant small nuclear RNA in the mid-70s but a possible function has only recently been suggested. Two independent studies have found that 7SK RNA binds the CDK9/cyclin T complex (known as elongation factor P-TEFb). P-TEFb activates transcription by phosphorylating the C-terminal domain of RNA polymerase II. Lineage: Eukaryota; Metazoa; Chordata; Mammalia; Rodentia; Cricetidae. The record is from Ensembl.
AGGUCUGAUUUGGCUGAUCUGGCUAACUAGGUGGGAUUCCCUCCUCCCUCAAGACUCUCUGGGCAUCUCUUCUAAGGCUGCUUAGUCAGUUGAAGAAGGUGUCCUUCCCUGGUAAAGACAGACCAGUCCUUGGCCAAGGGUGGAUAAGGGCCGUGCUCCCUACAAGAAUACCCAAACAAACUCUCUUAAGUUUCUAAUUUAUGUAUUUUUUAAGAAUGUAAAUCAGUUCAUGGAUAUCACCCAUCAUGUCUCCUUCUGUGGUACUGAGGAUCUGAU